RNAcentral lists this long non-coding RNA (670 nucleotides) under Physcomitrium patens. Its description in RNAcentral is "long non-coding RNA (PPAT_LNC001723)". Lineage: Eukaryota; Viridiplantae; Streptophyta; Bryopsida; Funariales; Funariaceae. The record is from RNAcentral.
AAAUAUGAAAUUGUGAUAUCAUUAUUAAAAAAAACAGUUGCAACUUUUUGAUAUUCAACUUGAGUACAAAGCAUGCAAUGUAGCAUUUUUUAGAUUAUUAUAGCCAAUUUCACUACCUAUGGCAUGUUAGAAGCACGUGACUAUGGAUCUCUUUUGUUCUUAUUGUGUUCAAGCUUAAGUAUACCAAAUCAAUUGAACUAAUAGAGGUAGGUUCAAACACAAGAAAAGACUGGUUAUAUGAAUGGGAUUUGUUAGUGUCACAAUUGAUUGUACUCUGGCUAUCUAAAAUCAAUUAUCAAAAUACAAAAUACCAUGGCUUAUUACUUCCAUUUUAAUUCAACAUAUAAUCCAUUCUACGAUUAUCAAUUUAACAAUACUUCUCUCAAUCACAAUUCUUUAUAAGCAAAUAAUAAAAACAAAGAAAACAAAGAAGUAGGACCAAGCUUACCCUGGCUUAUGGCUCUCUCAGUCUGACUCUAGGCUUAUCUUUCCUCAACCUCUUUAUCCUACCAAAAGAUGAUCCGUCGGCUAGCGGAUUCCAAAGGUUAUGACCCUUUGAAUUCUUAACCAUUUAUUCCACUAACCACUUACUGUUACCAAUUAAACUACCUAACCAUCAAUCUAAUUCUCAAGGUUGUCAAUAACCAACCAGUAACUUAUCACAAAAUUU